RNAcentral lists this ribosomal RNA (1257 nucleotides) under Klebsiella pneumoniae. Its description in RNAcentral is "bacterial SSU rRNA". It matches the Rfam family "Bacterial small subunit ribosomal RNA", at positions 1 to 1253 of the family's 1533-position model. The record is from RNAcentral. Lineage: Bacteria; Pseudomonadati; Pseudomonadota; Gammaproteobacteria; Enterobacterales; Enterobacteriaceae.
UUGAAGAGUUUGAUCAUGGCUCAGAUUGAACGCUGGCGGCAGGCCUAACACAUGCAAGUCGAGCGGUAGCACAGAGAGCUUGCUCUCGGGUGACGAGCGGCGGACGGGUGAGUAAUGUCUGGGAAACUGCCUGAUGGAGGGGGAUAACUACUGGAAACGGUAGCUAAUACCGCAUAAUGUCGCAAGACCAAAGUGGGGGACCUUCGGGCCUCAUGCCAUCAGAUGUGCCCAGAUGGGAUUAGCUAGUAGGUGGGGUAAUGGCUCACCUAGGCGACGAUCCCUAGCUGGUCUGAGAGGAUGACCAGCCACACUGGAACUGAGACACGGUCCAGACUCCUACGGGAGGCAGCAGUGGGGAAUAUUGCACAAUGGGCGCAAGCCUGAUGCAGCCAUGCCGCGUGUGUGAAGAAGGCCUUCGGGUUGUAAAGCACUUUCAGCGGGGAGGAAGGCGAUAAGGUUAAUAACCUUGUCGAUUGACGUUACCCGCAGAAGAAGCACCGGCUAACUCCGUGCCAGCAGCCGCGGUAAUACGGAGGGUGCAAGCGUUAAUCGGAAUUACUGGGCGUAAAGCGCACGCAGGCGGUCUGUCAAGUCGGAUGUGAAAUCCCCGGGCUCAACCUGGGAACUGCAUUCGAAACUGGCAGGCUAGAGUCUUGUAGAGGGGGGUAGAAUUCCAGGUGUAGCGGUGAAAUGCGUAGAGAUCUGGAGGAAUACCGGUGGCGAAGGCGGCCCCCUGGACAAAGACUGACGCUCAGGUGCGAAAGCGUGGGGAGCAAACAGGAUUAGAUACCCUGGUAGUCCACGCCGUAAACGAUGUCGAUUUGGAGGUUGUGCCCUUGAGGCGUGGCUUCCGGAGCUAACGCGUUAAAUCGACCGCCUGGGGAGUACGGCCGCAAGGUUAAAACUCAAAUGAAUUGACGGGGGCCCGCACAAGCGGUGGAGCAUGUGGUUUAAUUCGAUGCAACGCGAAGAACCUUACCUGGUCUUGACAUCCACAGAACUUUCCAGAGAUGGAUUGGUGCCUUCGGGAACUGUGAGACAGGUGCUGCAUGGCUGUCGUCAGCUCGUGUUGUGAAAUGUUGGGUUAAGUCCCGCAACGAGCGCAACCCUUAUCCUUUGUUGCCAGCGGUCCGGCCGGGAACUCAAAGGAGACUGCCAGUGAUAAACUGGAGGAAGGUGGGGAUGACGUCAAGUCAUCAUGGCCCUUACGACCAGGGCUACACACGUGCUACAAUGGCAUAUACAAAGAGAAGCGAC